UUUUGUAAACUGCAUUAUAGAAUACUUUUGAAUAAACCAAAAUGCUUUCUCUUUUAUCCAUUCAGUUCAAGACUUCUCAUUCAAGCAUUCAAAGCAAGUGUGGAUACAGGGGGGAUAUCCAUUGAAUGAAAACAGCCAUGUCUUUAUUUUGUAUAAUUAACUUAUAAAGUAUAAAACAUAUGUUUGGGUAAUUACUUUAUAAAACUAAGGAUCCAGACUGUUUUUGGACAAAUAGAAACAAAAGCUAAUUCAAUUGUUAUUAUUUCUACAUUAUUUGUAGUCAUCAUAGAUUGCAAGAUAAAAACAGAACACUAUACAGGUGCAUUCUGAUCCAAAAAGUAGAAAGAUAGACUCAAUUAUGGCUCCAACUCACUUAGAUGGAUAUCAGGCAUUUCUUUAGUAGCCCUUCAGUGGUUUGGUGUACAUACAUGUGUAAGCUGAGACAUUGUACAAAGGGUUUUCAGCUGUUUCUGUGAGCCAGUUAUGCACUAUAACAAAUAUUGAAACAAAUGUUUUCUUUUAUUGUAUACCACUUCCUUGUUUUGCACAGUUUCUGUGAGCCAGUUACGCACUAUAAAAACAAAUAUUGAAACAAAUGUUUUCUUUUAUUUCUUUUAUCCCCUUGUAUUGUACAGACAAAUAGUAAGUGUUGCAUUUUAUUGGGAUGGUACUAAGCCCUACUUUUAACCCUACAUCUGAUAAGUUAACACGAGGGCACAAUGGUCUAAUGACCAAGUGCUCUCCUAGAAAUCAAGUUGACUGCACUAUACUCCCUAUUCAAACAGGUGUACCUAGUACUCUGUUUAGUAUACUUAUAAAUGACAGACAGGGUGAGGGUAAGUUGACAAAUUUCCUUAGCCUUUCUUUAUGUUCUGGAUCAAGAAGUCUGGUACUAACAGCAGGAUGGCACCAGAGAAAGGACCCAAGGAGAAAAUGGGUCCAAGUGAUGAGAGAGCCAUAAAGGAAAGAAGCAUUUUAUGUUCCUCACCCAUAUGUACCAAAGUUUCGGAUUUGCAAGAUACGCUUCCUUCGUUUUCCUGUGAACUUCGUGCUACCGGACAUUCCUGUUGGGCGAUCGAGAUCGUUUGUAAACAUCUUUGGAAAAGCAUGUAGGUUUAGAUGACUUCUUUAUCGCCGAGACACGCAGAAGAUAAAGGCUUACUUGAUAUAUUGUUCUUUUGGCUUAAGUAGAUGCAUAUGGCUGGUAAAGUUUUCAUUUACUUUGUUUUCUAGUUUCUGGAUCAGUAGGUAAACAGGAUAGUUUUUGGCAGUUGAAGUAAUUUUCUUACCUCUGAUAAAUAUGGAUGUAAUGCAUUUGCAGACUUUUUGCUUACUUUGAUAUUUAGAUGUAUAAUUUCAUUGUGA
Nematostella vectensis (starlet sea anemone) is the source of this 1365-nucleotide long non-coding RNA. RefSeq lists it as uncharacterized. The record is from RefSeq and is a predicted model, not a curated record. The transcript is spliced from 2 exons. Lineage: Eukaryota; Metazoa; Cnidaria; Anthozoa; Actiniaria; Edwardsiidae.